GUAUGCGUUAUGAAUGUUAUGACAUAUUUUAUCACACAUAAAUUUAAAACAACCUCUAUGUUUUCAAAUAAAAAUUAUAUUCGCUUUGCUGAGAUAAUCUGGUAACUUCUGUGUUUUGACUAAAACUUUGUUACUCUAACAACGAAUAAAAGUACAUCGUCCGUCAGCGAAAAUACUCCUUAUAUGCUUCGCAAAAAGUCUAUUAUUCUUUAAUCACGUGUUUUCCCGGUACUAGUAUAACAGUGAGGUAAAACAGUAUUUCUUGAACAUGUUGUUAAUUCGUUAACAGUGUAAACAUGUGUAAAGCAACAGCGUACGCUAGUGUGACGUAACGAGUACCUAGGUACACGGAUAUGUGCUUGUGUGGGUAUGCGUAGCUACUGCAAAUGCGUGUUACCUAUACGGAGUAACUGAGUAUGGUCACAACAUACAGAUUACAGUGAUAUGUGGCAAAUGUGUAAAUUUUAAUGGACAUAUGAUAAAUUAGGGUGUUGAUGAUCCUAAUAGAGAGAUAGAAUAGAUUGGGUGCUGAUAAAUUUGGGUGUCCUAUAGACUUUAAAUCGUAUUUAAGGGGAAAAUAGAUGAAGGCACUAGACCCUAUUCAUAGAGUUCUGUUCCUUCCGGUAAGUAAAGUUGCCAGAGCUCAACGAGGGUGCGGAGUUUUAGAGUCGGCAACGUGCAUGUAACUCCUCUGGAUUUGCAGGUUACGGAGACUGCUUACCAUCAGGCAGGCCGUAUGCUUAUUUGCCACCGACUAAGUAUAUAAAGGAGUCAGAUUUUGGUAGAGCCACUUGAAUUUGAUCUUGUAUUAGUUGAAUAUUUGUUUAGCCAAGUAUAAUUCUCGAGCCAGAAUGUAAAAAGGACAAUAGCGGCAGAUAAGCCGCAAGCGGUUUCCGGUCGCUAUUUUUAAAUGUAAGUAUCUAAAGUAGUAUUUCAGUGUUUUUGGAUAUAUAAAAAAUACCUUUCUAUUUUUAACCGUCUGCCCUCAACUGUGUGCUACAGUUGAGGGCAAUGUAUCUUCAAAAAUUAAACGUAUACCAUUUUUUGGUUUUAUGUAAAAUUUUAAUUUCAAAAUUAAACCCAGUUUGAGGGUGGUAUUAAUUUACUGUUCUCCCCUCCCUACUGCGACACGUUACCGCAGAACGCAACAUAAUAGAGAAUCGUGUGUAAUUUGCGAUGCGACUCGCAUUACAUUCGAGUAUGCACAAAGCGAUGCGACUGCAUCUAAGAUUCACUUUUGAUCCGCUUGAAACUGGAUUUGGGUUGUCAGAACAGACGUAUUCGUUGCAGCAAUGUUAGUCCGUAUUCUAGCUUAUCUAUGAGAAAUAAUAUAAAAGGCUUGAUUACUUUACUACGGACCGAUGGAAGGAGAUAGAGAGAGAAACAGACAGAGUGGCUCGUGUUGGCUACGUGCGCAAUGCAUGGUGGAGGUAUAUUAUAGCGAUUGCAGCGCAUGCGGUGCUCAAAUUUGGCACUAACAAAGCAACCUCAUCUGGCAAAAAACAGCACAGAGACACAGCUGAGAAACAUCAAAAAUACGACAGAGCAACAAAGGACCUACGAGCCUCCUUUACGCCACUAGUCAUCUCAUGCGAUGGAGCUGUACGGACUCAAUGCAAUAGUUUCUUAAAAACAGCAUCAAAGUUAAAUGGUUAAUGGGGAAAAGCGUAUUCACAAAUUAUUUUCUGGCUGAAAGUUAAAGUCCAAAUUUCCAUAAUAAGAGCUGUCUCCAUAAGAGUCAGACGCUCAAGACAACACAUUAAAGCUUUUGAGUGCGAAGAUGAUGCAGGAAUCAUACCUAUAUACUGAAAGUCCCCCAAGACCCCUGUCUUCUACUACCUCUUCACAUCACUACUGAAGGCAGCAGUAUUUUUUAUUUACUCUUUACCGUCUCGAUGUGUAUGUUUAUUGUGUCUUACGUUAUCUGAAUAAAAUGAUCUCUCAUUGGCUGUGUCAAUUCUUAAGAGGA
Molecule: long non-coding RNA, 1969 nt
Organism: Cydia pomonella (codling moth)
Lineage: Eukaryota; Metazoa; Arthropoda; Insecta; Lepidoptera; Tortricidae
Exons: 2
Source: RefSeq, a predicted model, not a curated record